AGGAGGAGGAGGAGGAGGAGGAGGAGGAGGAGGCCGAAGGCCGCUACCAGCCCGGCUCCAUCUGCCGCUACUGCGCCUUCUGCCAGCACUGCGCUGCCUGCGGGAGCUGCCCCUGCACCGAGGACCCCCCCGGCCCCCACUGCCGCCACUGCCAGGCCUGCCCCUUCUGCUACCUCUGCCCCCUGCUCUGCGAGACCGCCUGCCAG
Dromaius novaehollandiae (emu) is the source of this 206-nucleotide long non-coding RNA. RefSeq lists it as uncharacterized. The transcript is spliced from 3 exons. The record is from RefSeq and is a predicted model, not a curated record. NCBI's taxonomy places the organism in Eukaryota, Metazoa, Chordata, Aves, Casuariiformes, Dromaiidae.